This 246-nucleotide unclassified non-coding RNA is filed under the name Hevea brasiliensis (rubber tree). The record is from RNAcentral. Lineage: Eukaryota; Viridiplantae; Streptophyta; Magnoliopsida; Malpighiales; Euphorbiaceae.
AGCUGAUGGAUCUUCAAUGAAGUUAUCAACAAAGGCCUUCACUAUCCUAACUUCUUGUGUUGUGGCUCUCAAGCUAUACCAAGUUAAGAAUUUUUGUCUGAAGUUCUUCUCUAUGUGUCCUUCGCGUUCUAGCCAUCUAAUCAACUUUACAUAAUACUCAAAAUCCUUAUCAGAAAUACCGUUUGCAGUACAAUCCGCAUCUUGCCUCUCCGCAUUUCUUUUCUUAGACGUGCUGCCAUGUCGGAG